CAAAUGCGAAACGUAUUGUGACAUGCCAUCUUUGAGAAACAACGAAUAUUUGAACGCACCUUGCGUCCGCGGGCCAGUGCGCGCGGGCAUACUUGAUUGAGCAUCGACAGCAGUCGCCCACCGCGUUGUGCGUGCGUGGCGUGGACGUGGCGGUCGUGUGCGUUGCAUGCGACGGCUGAAAGACAGCGUGGCGCAGGGCGCGCCGUGGGAUACGCGCAUGGCGUCAGCACGGCGCAUACCAGGCACACAUCAGGAUGGGUGGGUGCCGAGCACCAGAAUCGGGUGCAAAGCACCCGCCAGUAACCAGCAAAAGAGAUCUCAGUCAAGUAGGACGACCCGCUGAACUUAA
RNAcentral lists this unclassified non-coding RNA (349 nucleotides) under uncultured fungus. RNAcentral describes it as "sequence contains ITS1". The stretch from base 1 to 106 matches the Rfam family "5.8S ribosomal RNA", at positions 50 to 154 of the family's 154-position model. Lineage: Eukaryota; Fungi. The record is from RNAcentral.